CCCAGGGUACUCUUGAGGAGUAGCAGUAGGAGAUAUUAGAUAGAAGGAUUUAGAGUGGAGAAUUUUGUGUAGAGAAACAGAUAGAAAAAUACAGAAUAGCCUCGAGAGGGACUGGAACCUAUUCCAUCAGGCCCUGACAGUCUCUGCCCUAGGGUAUUUAUAGAAAUGCCAGGGGUUGGAGCAAAAGACAUACCGCCAGCAUAGCCAAGUGCAGACCAUCUUGGACACCUGCACUCAGGCCUGUGGUCCAAUCAUCCUUUCUAUGCAGACCUGCAAGGUAAAGCCAC
Molecule: non-coding RNA, 287 nt
Organism: Peromyscus maniculatus bairdii (prairie deer mouse)
Lineage: Eukaryota; Metazoa; Chordata; Mammalia; Rodentia; Cricetidae
Source: RefSeq, a predicted model, not a curated record